RNAcentral lists this long non-coding RNA (263 nucleotides) under Vigna radiata. Its description in RNAcentral is "long non-coding RNA (VRAD_LNC002542)". Lineage: Eukaryota; Viridiplantae; Streptophyta; Magnoliopsida; Fabales; Fabaceae. The record is from RNAcentral.
UUUUCUCUAAUGGGAUUGAUAACAAACUACUUUGGACCUCCCAGACCUGGCAAACAAAGCUGAAAUCUCAAGAUUUUGAGGUAGAAAUACACCAUUUUUUUAAGUGAGGGAAGUUUAAGUAUUCAAUUUUUCCCUUUUCAUCAUGUGUCAUUUAACUCGUCUGUAUUAAAGAUGCUUGCCAAGUCUGGAUAAUUUUACGUUUUUAUGAUUAUAUAUUUAAAAGAUGGUUUACUAUGGAAUCUGAGAGCUACAACAUUUUGCAC